ACCGAAUAGAUACCCAGGUAGUCCACGCCCUAAACGAUGAGAACUAGACGUUGGAAGGGUUAGCCUUUCAGUGUUGUAGCUAAACGCGUUAAAGUUCUCCGCCUGGGGAGUACGGCCGCAAGGUUGAAACUCAAAUGAAUUGACGGGGCCCGGCACAAGCGGUGGAGCAUGUGGUUUAAUUCGAUGCAACGCGAAGAACCUUACCUGGCCUUGACAUCCUCGGAACCCUGCUGAGAGGUGGGGUGGCCUUCGGGAGCCGAGAGACAGGUGCUGCAUGGCUGUCGUCAGCUCGUGUCGUGAGAUGUUGGGUUAAGUCCCGCAACGAGCGCAACCCUGCCCACUAGUUGCCAGCGGUUUGGUCCGGGCACUCUAGGGGGACUGCCGUUGACAAACGGAGGAAGGUGGGGAUGACGUCAAGUCAUCAUGGCCCGUUAUGGCCGAGGGCGUACACACGUGCUACAAUGGCCGGUACAGAGGGUAGCCAAGCAGCGAUGUGGAGCUAAUCUCAGAAAGCCGGU
This 518-nucleotide ribosomal RNA is filed under the name uncultured bacterium. Its description in RNAcentral is "bacterial SSU rRNA". It matches the Rfam family "Bacterial small subunit ribosomal RNA", at positions 772 to 1286 of the family's 1533-position model. The record is from RNAcentral.